AACUUUCAGCAACGGAUCUCUUGGCUCUCGCAUCGAUGAAGAACGCAGCGAAAUGCGAUAAGUAAUGUGAAUUGCAGAAUUCAGUGAAUCAUCGAAUCUUUGAACGCACCUUGCGCUCCUUGGUAUUCCGAGGAGCAUGCCUGUUUGAGUGUCAUG
Molecule: ribosomal RNA, 156 nt
Filed under: Trametes hirsuta
Lineage: Eukaryota; Fungi; Basidiomycota; Agaricomycetes; Polyporales; Polyporaceae
Also listed under: 27 other names
Description: 5.8S ribosomal RNA
Rfam family: 5.8S ribosomal RNA
About the family: 5.8S ribosomal RNA (5.8S rRNA) is a component of the large subunit of the eukaryotic ribosome. It is transcribed by RNA polymerase I as part of the 45S precursor that also contains 18S and 28S rRNA.
Source: RNAcentral